CGAAAGUAUAUGCUCACUUCUUUCUAAUAACAAAUCAACCACACACUGCAAGCAACCUCUACCGGCAGUUUCAUGAAACAUGAGAAGAAAGUCGACUGCAAUGUAGACAGGCUGCGGUGCAGUAUAACGCGAAGCGAAGGAUGCAAAUUUUUCUGUCAUCUUUGUUUCGCUUCGCGUCGCGUUCAGUGUGUCACGGCGAUAACAGAGAGUGCGAAUGAGAAGCCCUCGAAAAACUCCGCAAUUCGGUUGUCAGCCGUUAUAGCGGAUACUUUGAAAUUUUAAAAAAUUUGAAAUUAUAAAAUCUAUUGCUCACGAGCUAUACAA
This 324-nucleotide long non-coding RNA is filed under the name Androctonus crassicauda. Lineage: Eukaryota; Metazoa; Arthropoda; Arachnida; Scorpiones; Buthidae. The record is from RNAcentral.